GUCUACGGCCAUGCCACCCUGAACAAGCCCGAUCCCGUCUGAUCUUGGAAGUAAGCAGGGUCGGGCCUGGUUAGUACUUGGAUGGGAGACCACCUAGGAAGACCAGGUGCUGUAGGCG
This 118-nucleotide ribosomal RNA is filed under the name Pteropus alecto (black flying fox). The record is from RNAcentral. Lineage: Eukaryota; Metazoa; Chordata; Mammalia; Chiroptera; Pteropodidae.